CCUACGGGUGGCAGCAGUGGGGAAUAUUGGACAAUGGGCGAAAGCCUGAUCCAGCCAUGCCGCGUGUGUGAAGAAGGCCUUCGGGUUGUAAAGCACUUUCAGUGGGGAAGAAAGCCUUGGGGCUAAUACCCUCGAGGAAGGACAUCACCCACAGAAGAAGCACCGGCUAACUCAGUGCCAGCAGCCGCGGUAAUACGGAGGGUGCGAGCGUUAAUCGGAAUUACUGGGCGUAAAGCGCGCGUAGGCGGUCUGAUAAGCCGGUUGUGAAAGCCCCGGGCUCAACCUGGGAACGGCAUCCGGAACUGUCAGGCUAGAGUGCAGGAGAGGAAGGUAGAAUUCCCGGUGUAGCGGUGAAAUGCGUAGAGAUCGGGAGGAAUACCAGUGGCGAAGGCGGCCUUCUGGACUGACACUGACGCUGAGGUGCGAAAGCGUGGGUAGCAAACAGGAUUAGAUACCCCAGUAGUC
RNAcentral lists this ribosomal RNA (465 nucleotides) under Vreelandella stevensii. RNAcentral describes it as "partial 16S ribosomal RNA". It matches the Rfam family "Bacterial small subunit ribosomal RNA", at positions 338 to 795 of the family's 1533-position model. Lineage: Bacteria; Pseudomonadati; Pseudomonadota; Gammaproteobacteria; Oceanospirillales; Halomonadaceae. The record is from RNAcentral.